RNAcentral lists this long non-coding RNA (1425 nucleotides) under Homo sapiens (human). RNAcentral describes it as "HSALNT0125248". Lineage: Eukaryota; Metazoa; Chordata; Mammalia; Primates; Hominidae. The record is from RNAcentral.
UCUCUUCAAAAAAAGAAUCCAUCCAGUGGAUAAAAACAAUUGGGAUAUCAUGCAAGCAAGGAGCUCCCUUACUCCCUGAAGAGGCUCACUGCACACUAUUAUGAGAAGACCCUGUCCCAACCAUCAACAUCUACUGCCUCCAGGAAGGAGUUACAAAAGAACAACCUUCACCCUUUAUCUCCCCUUAAGGUUAAGGGUUCUCUCAUAAGUAGAGGGGGAAAUGUUGGGGAAGCAGGAGCUCAGGAGAGCCAGAGUAACACCAUUUUAAAUUCAGCUCCAUCUUGAGACUAGCAAGGCACGUUCCUUGCCAGUCAUGACCCAGUCAUAAGAUAUUUACAGUUGAGGAAACAACCUAAAGAUACUUACAAUGACACACUCCUACAACAGUAGAAAGUCCAGAUGUCUCAAUACCCAUAACAAUAUAUGUUUUUGAGAUGAUUAACAUAAUUCUUUGAUGUAUUCAUGCACUAAAAUGUCAAGGAUUGUUUUCUUUAAAUCAACAGAAUAAUAAAUUUUGUCAUGCUGUCUGCUCACCCUCACAUAGGCACAGCUUAGUCUUUACAUCGAUAAGACCCCUAUGUAAGAAAAACUUAAAGACAGUCUGCUUGCUUUCUGAGGAUGUCCUACUCUAUAAUGGAGAAGCUUUCAAUAAACUGUCUCUUCUCACUGCACUCUGCAACUCACCUUGAAUUCCUUCCUGCAAGAGAUCCAAGAACUCUAACUCUCUCUUAGAGUCUGGAUCGAGACCCCUUCUCCAGCAACAGUAUCACAGUUUUCUAAGUUACUAAUAAUAUUAAUAUAUACUAAAAGAUUAUUAACAUACCUGAUUCAAGGUAUUUUUUUAAUGAUUCUUCAAGUGAAGGAACAGGCAGUGAUGGAAGAGAAUCCUGGUACUGAAAUGUUCGUUCUUCAGUUGAUUUAGCCAAUUGAUUUUCCAUGAUAAAAUCACAAUAGGAAACCUAAAGAAAAGAGAGAGAGCCCUCACAACUUCAAUCUCAUAGAUAGUGUUACGUAUCCUAGGUACAAUUCACAAUUCACUAAACCAGUAUUUAGGGACCACAGCAUAUCUAGGACUUGGUACCAGCUUUUAUGAAAUUUAUAAAUCUGUCAGAUAGAGAAAACCAACUUAAAAAGAAUGUGUAGACACAAAGUGCUAGAAGUAAAGAGUGAUCAGUGGGACUGGUAUAAUUAGUUACCAUUUAUUGAACACCUAGCAUUUGCCAGGUACUCCAGUUUGCAUUACAGAAAACAUGUGUUAGCUCUCUAACUUUUAUGUUAUCUCUGAAAGGUGGCAUUCUUUGCAAUUUUACAUAUGAAUAUAUCAAAACUCAGAAAUUUAGUAACUUACCUAAUGUCAAACACAGGACCCAAACCCAGAUCUGUUAAGACUACAAUCUUUCCCCUAUACAAAACAACAUGAUAGAA